This 1117-nucleotide long non-coding RNA is filed under the name Pan paniscus (pygmy chimpanzee). Its description in RNAcentral is "lncRNA (ENSPPAG00000044915.1)". The record is from RNAcentral. Lineage: Eukaryota; Metazoa; Chordata; Mammalia; Primates; Hominidae.
AGUUUGCUUACCAAGUUCUAAGGCCUUACUGAUUUCCAUCAACUUGUUCUAUCCAUUAUUGAGAGACGAGUGUUAUAGUCAGCAACUAUAAUUGUAAAUAUGUCUAUUUCUCCUUUUAGUUCUAUCAGUUUUUGCUUUAAGGCAUCAAGCUCUGUUUUUGUUUGUGUAUUUUUAAACUCUGUUACUAGGUGCAUAACUGUUUAGGAUUGUGGCUGGGCGCGGUGGCUCACGCCUGUAAUCCCAGCACUUUGGGAGGCCAAGGUGGGCGGAUCACCUGAGGUCAGGUGUUUGAGACCAGCCUGGCCAGCAUAGUGAAACCCCCUCUCUACUAAAAAUACAAAAAAAAAAAAAAUUAGCCGGGCGUGGUAGAAGGCGCCUCUAAUCCCAGCUACUCAGGAGGCUGAGGCAGGAAAACUGCUGGAACCUGGGAGGCGGAGGUUGCAGUGAGCCAAGAUUACACCACUGUGCUCCAGCCUGGGCAACAGAGCAAGAUUCCAUCUAAAAACAAACAAACAAAAAAAACACACAAAGAAUUGUUAUACCCUCUUCAUCAAUUUACUCCUUUAGAAUUAUGAAAGACCUUUUCAUCAUUUUGAUCUGAAAUCUACUUUUUCUAAUAUGAAUACAGCUACUCCAGCUUUCUUUUGAUUAGUGUGAACAUGGUAUAUCUUUUCCCGUACUUUCUCAGAGCCGUCUGUUCUCAGGCCAAGCUCGCUUCCUACUCUGCCAUAAGGUGAGCCACCUCUACCUGCCUGGAGAUCAACCUGCGGUCAUCCAGUUCCACCAGUGCCUGGCUGGAGCUAUAAGUUGGUGCUGUUUGCCAGGGUUGGUGUCUACAGAGGGCCAGGGGAAUUCCAAGCGAGGGAAGCAAGGAGAACUUCUUGGACUCCUCAAGUUCUACCAGAAGGCAGUGCUAUGGUGUGCCCAACCCUCCCAGGGGCCUAAAUGGCCACCCUCUUGGGAAUGCCCAAAGCAUCUGCUAUUUAGGACUUGGUUACAGAGCGCCAUCAGCUUCCCCAAGUUUGUGGGGAAGACAACUUGUCACAAUGCCAAUCUCUGCAUUUCUCCAUCCUGCCCACCAGAGUAUCCUGAAAGACUUGGUCAAAUAUCUUGCUGA